GACGAACGCUGGCGGCGUGCCUAAUACAUGCAAGUAGAACGCUGAAGGAGGAGCUUGCUUCUCUGGAUGAGUUGCGAACGGGUGAGUAACGCGUAGGUAACCUGCCUGGUAGCGGGGGAUAACUAUUGGAAACGAUAGCUAAUACCGCAUAAGAGUAGAUGUUGCAUGACAUUUGCUUAAAAGGUGCUAUUGCAUCACUACCAGAUGGACCUGCGUUGUAUUAGCUAGUUGGUGGGGUAACGGCUCACCAAGGCGACGAUACAUAGCCGACCUGAGAGGGUGAUCGGCCACACUGGGACUGAGACACGGCCCAGACUCCUACGGGAGGCAGCAGUAGGGAAUCUUCGGCAAUGGACGGAAGUCUGACCGAGCAACGCCGCGUGAGUGAAGAAGGUUUUCGGAUCGUAAAGCUCUGUUGUAAGAGAAGAACGAGUGUGAGAGUGGAAAGUUCACACUGUGACGGUAUCUUACCAGAAAGAGACGGCUAACUACGUG
Molecule: ribosomal RNA, 495 nt
Filed under: uncultured bacterium
Lineage: Bacteria
Description: partial 16S ribosomal RNA
Rfam family: Bacterial small subunit ribosomal RNA
Source: RNAcentral